RNAcentral lists this microRNA precursor (94 nucleotides) under Prunus dulcis (almond). RNAcentral's name for it is "sRNA ncRNA". Lineage: Eukaryota; Viridiplantae; Streptophyta; Magnoliopsida; Rosales; Rosaceae. The record is from RNAcentral.
GUGGUAUACAAAUGUGGUAAGAGUAGCAUUAUUCGUGCCAAAAAAAGGUUUUUUAGAGGAAUAAUGCUACACUUACCACAUUUGUAUACCACAU